Molecule: ribosomal RNA, 462 nt
Filed under: Triticum aestivum (bread wheat)
Lineage: Eukaryota; Viridiplantae; Streptophyta; Magnoliopsida; Poales; Poaceae
Description: partial small subunit ribosomal RNA
Source: RNAcentral
AUGGCCGACUACCACCGCCCCUACCAGCGCGACCUCCGUCCCCCGCCGUCCUCGGCCCCGGACCCCACCAUCUUCCACGGCAAUGGUUACUUCUCCUCCGUCGCCCCCCAAGCCAACGCAUACUUCUCCUCCGCGCAGAAAGACGGCGCUUUCCCCGGCGCAGGCGACCGGCGGAUCGAGAUCUACACGACGGCGCCUCCGCCUCUCCCCCCGCCUCCGCGCCUCGCACUGCCCCCGCCUCCGGGGAGGAGGGAAGGUGGCGUGGGGAGCGGCGGCAGCGGAGGGGGAGGUGGGGGCGGUGGAAGCGCCAACAUGUGGUGCUUCAGCGACCCGGAGAUGAAGCGGCGGCGGCGGGUGGCGAGCUACAAGGCUUACUCAGUGGAAGGGAAAGUGAAGUCCUCGCUGCGGAGGGGCCUCCGCUGGUUCAAGGGCAAGUGCUCCGAUAUCUUCCACGGCUGGUAA